AAGGGUCAUAUGAGGUUUACAAGCAUAGUUCAGAUGAUUUAUCGUGAUUAUAUUCUCUUUUAAGUCUUUCCCUCCUGUCUGAUGACCAUU
RNAcentral lists this small nucleolar RNA (90 nucleotides) under Phaseolus vulgaris (common bean). RNAcentral describes it as "snoRNA snosnR60_Z15". It matches the Rfam family "Small nucleolar RNA snR60/Z15/Z230/Z193/J17". From Rfam's summary of the family: The members of this family belong to the C/D class of snoRNAs which contain the C (UGAUGA) and D (CUGA) box motifs. Most of the members of the box C/D family function in directing site-specific 2'-O-methylation of substrate RNAs. Lineage: Eukaryota; Viridiplantae; Streptophyta; Magnoliopsida; Fabales; Fabaceae. The record is from Rfam by way of RNAcentral.